This 393-nucleotide ribosomal RNA is filed under the name Triticum aestivum (bread wheat). RNAcentral describes it as "partial small subunit ribosomal RNA". The record is from RNAcentral. Lineage: Eukaryota; Viridiplantae; Streptophyta; Magnoliopsida; Poales; Poaceae.
AUGAAGGCCAGGGGGCCCACUCCCUGUCCACGAGGGUGGGCCCCCCCUAGGGUGCGCCCCCUACCUCGUGGGCCCCCUGCUGGCUCUCCGAUGACCAUCUUCUGCUAUAUGAAGCCUUUCGUCGAGAAAAAAAAUAAGAAGCAACCUUUCAGGACGAAACUCCGUCGCCACGAGGCGGAACCUUGGCGGAACCAAUCUAGGGCUCCGGCAGAGCUGUUCGGCUGGGGAUACUUCCCUCCGGGAGGGGGAAAUCAUCGCCAUCGUCAUCACCAACGCUCCUCUCAUCGGGAGAGGGCAAUCUCCAUCAACAUCUUCACCAGCACCAUCUCAUCUCAAAACCCUAGUUCAUCUCUUGUAUCCAAUUCUUGUCUCCAAGUCCGGGAUUGGUGCUAG